CGAAAUGCGAUAAGUAAUGUGAAUUGCAGAAUUCAGUGAAUCAUCGAAUCUUUUAACGCACAUUGCGCCCGCCAGCACUCUGGCGGGCAUGCCUGUUCGAGCGUCAUUUCAACCCUCAGAACCCCUUGCGGGAUCUGGCGUUGGGGAUUGGCAUCCAGCCAGCCCCGAAAUCUAGUGGCGGUCCCUCCGCGACCUCCCCUGUGCAGUAGCGAUACCUCGCAGCGGGACAGCGGUCUGACCACGCCGUAAAACCCCCAACUUCUCAAGGUUGACCUCGAAUCAGGUAGGAAUACCCGCUGAACUUAAGC
Molecule: unclassified non-coding RNA, 308 nt
Filed under: plant metagenome
Description: partial contains 5.8S ribosomal RNA, internal transcribed spacer 2, and large subunit ribosomal RNA
Rfam family: 5.8S ribosomal RNA (bases 1-106)
Source: RNAcentral